CAGCAGCCGCGGUAAUACGGAGGGUGCGAGCGUUAUUCGGAAUUACUGGGUUUAAAGGGUGCGUAGGCGGCUAAGUGAGUUGUCAUUGAAAGGCUACAGCUCAACUGUAGUAGUGGUGGCGAUACUGCUUAGCUAAGAACAUGGGAGGGGUACUUGGAAUGUGUGGUGUAGCGGUGAAAUGCGUAGAUAUCACACAGAACACCAGAGGCGAAGGCGGAGUACUAGACCAUAGUUGACGCUGAGGCACGAAAGCGUGGGGAUCAAACAGGAUUAGAUACCCUGGUAGUCCACGCCCUAAACGAUGAUCACUAGAUAUUGGCGACAAACAGUCAGUGUCCAAGCGAAAGUGAUAAGUGAUCCACCUGGGGACUACGGCCGCAAGGUUAAAACUCAAAGGAAUUGACGG
Molecule: ribosomal RNA, 406 nt
Filed under: uncultured bacterium
Lineage: Bacteria
Description: bacterial SSU rRNA
Rfam family: Bacterial small subunit ribosomal RNA
Source: RNAcentral